Molecule: ribosomal RNA, 28 nt
Filed under: Dicrocoelium dendriticum
Lineage: Eukaryota; Metazoa; Platyhelminthes; Trematoda; Plagiorchiida; Dicrocoeliidae
Description: partial 28S ribosomal RNA
Source: RNAcentral
CUGACCUCGGAUCAGACGUGAUUACCCG